RNAcentral lists this non-coding RNA (178 nucleotides) under Syntrophomonadaceae bacterium. RNAcentral describes it as "6S RNA". It matches the Rfam family "6S / SsrS RNA". From Rfam's summary of the family: E. coli 6S RNA was the first non coding RNA to be sequenced, but its function was unknown until recently. It consists of 184 nucleotides that fold into an extended hairpin structure with a large single-stranded internal bulge. Lineage: Bacteria; Bacillati; Bacillota; Clostridia; Eubacteriales; Syntrophomonadaceae. The record is from RNAcentral.
AACCCCCUGCUGUGUGCGUGUUAGGUCGUUCAGUUUUUGCCAACACUCGGAUUAAGGGAGCUUUGACUCUGGUAUGAGGCAUGUAGGCCCAUUCACUGGGACACAUUAAUCAUACAGGCGGGCACCCACCUGCUUAGCAGGUCUAAACCAGCGGCUACACGGCAACAGUGGGGUUUUU